Molecule: long non-coding RNA, 3964 nt
Organism: Homo sapiens (human)
Lineage: Eukaryota; Metazoa; Chordata; Mammalia; Primates; Hominidae
Gene: SOX2-OT
Product: SOX2 overlapping transcript
Source: Ensembl
UAUUUCUGUUUGGAAAAGUAAUGGAGUCCAGUCAACUUCAUUGAUCGCCAAGGACUGUCAAAAUUAUAAAACUUGCUGUGGAGCUCUGACAUGCCAGAAGCCGCUAGAAAAAGAAGUUUGACAUUCAGAAACUUAUCAAGAGGUUCUACUCUUUGGAUAGAGACCAAAAUCAUACUUUGAAAAAGAAAGCCUGACAGGUUUCUUCGGAAAAGUGGCCAUCCAUGGAAUGAAUGAAAUGUUCUCUUUCUAUUCCAGGGAUUGCAGUGGCAAAGCUAGGCUAGGUCUUGGAGGCUGGUGUAAGGCGAUGUGGGUGAAGGCAGGAGGCUGAUGGAAAGACUGGGGGGAAGAAAAGCCGAAAUGGAUUCACGGUGCCUUGGAUGAAGGACGAGAGGGGAACUGCAAGCUCCUUCAACUGGUUCUGUCCGGUGAGAAGUGAUCAAGCUUGGGCUGACAAGAGGCUCAGGGAGCCCUCACGUUCUUUCGCUUUUUUACCUGCCAAUCAAACUGCUACAAGACAACACCCUGAUCUGGCAUGGACAUCGCGGGUCCAAGCCUGUAGCCCCAAAUCGGAUAAUCUCUGCAGCUGAUAACAAGCAAAAGAGAAGCCAGGCAACAGCCAUAUUAAAGAAGAAAACAAUCAACUCUGAGAUCCAACUUAGAAAUAAUGUUUCAUUCAAGAUAAGGCUCGUGGCUUAGGAGAUUGUGACCUGGCUUGCAUCAUUCUAAGACUUCUAUCGUCUGUUUUCAAAACCCAAGGAGGACCUCCUUUUCUGUGUGAUAGUUCCUCAUGCUUUGCCAGCCACUGGGUCUUUAAGGAAGCUUGCCAAGAGUUCCCGGCUGGGAAGGACAGUUCGAGUUCAUCAUAGACAAUGAGCUGGCACCACAGUUUAAGUGACUCACCAACCUGGUUGCCCACUUCAAAAUGUCAAGAACCACACUAUCUAAUUGAAAGAACUGUGUUUUAGCAAAGUGUAAUUGGAUCGCCUGGCAAGAUCAUCUCAAACUAUGUCUCUGACCUUGCCUUUCAGUGGCUAUUUUGAGCACAAGAGGAGAAAGGAAAUGAUUCCUGAAUUAUAUCUUGUUUUUAAAAAUUAAGAUUAAUUAAUACUUGGUUUUAUGUUCAUUCCAUUGUAGGAACUUAGUGAUUAUUACAAAACAGUCAAAAUAGGUCAUAGCAAAAUGAACGUUUAAGAUUAGGUUAAAACAUUCCUCUGAAAUUUUAGUAUUCACUUUUGAAGUGUCAAUUACUAUAUUUCUGUAAUUUCUCAUUUUUUUCUUGGCUUAGAGUCAAGAUGAAAAAUGAUAUUUGAAUCAAAGACAUUGUUUUGUUAUAUAGCCACUCCUUUCUAAAAUGCAAAUCCACCCUCCCCUCACCAAUGCUUUAUUCUUUGUGCGCGCACACACACACACACACACACACACACACACACACACACACAGACAUACACAGAACCAGCACCCAAAUGGUAGAGGAGGUCCUUCCAAGACUUCUAGGACCUGGAUCAUGUAAGCAGUAGAUGAGAAAAUGAAGUAAGAGAUAUAGAGUAAUAACAAUAAAAGUCAAUGAUUUCAUUUUACAAAAAAGUCAUUGUGUAGUACUCAGAUAUUUUUAAGAGCAAGUAUUAUUAUGACUAAAGUAUAUUAUACUUCUAAAUUAUUAUGAUUCUCAUCUAAUUUCAAGCCACACAUAGGCGCCAUUUGAAAGCAUUUUGUGUUACAACCUAUCAACAAAAAUCAACUAAUAGUUUUAUAACGUGCAUAGGUUUACCCCAUGGGGAAUUAAAAUUUUUAUCUGCAAGUAUUUCUGUUGUUGUGAGACUUUAGGACAAGACAACAUUUGGUGUUAACAUAGAAGAAUAUUCUAUGGCUUUUUUAGCUUUAAAGUUCAUUACUCUAAAAUAAAGUACACGUGGUAUUUUUUUCUUCCUAGUGUUCUCUUAUUAUAUGUAGAGUAUUUUCGGUUGUUGUUUUUAACGUAUACAUUAUUUUUAUUAAGUCAUUUCAUAAAAGAUAAGAUAUAUACUAAUAGACCCUUGGUUUUCUCCUAAUUUAAUUAUUUCAAGUCAAGCAAAAUUGGGCAAUUUUCUUUCAGGAAAAAAAAAAUAUUGAGCAUGAUUUUGAGGUAAAACUGAUUAUUUACAGCAUCUUUUCUCUAAUAGGCUAACAUUUAUGAUGGAUCUUAUUUCAAAGUUGAUUAUUCUCAAAGAAAAGUGGAGAUAUUAGAAUUUCCGAGUAAAUUGCAUUGUUUUAAAAAGUACUUUAAUGCAUUGUUCACAUUGUUGCCAGCUAUUGACCAAAAAAGAGAAGAAGAAAAAAGAAAUAAAAAAAGCAGUAUCUGCUCCAAACGUCAAGUUUUGCAGUUUGAAAGACUUGUACAUUAUAAUUGUUUUUUUCUUUUUUGGAAAGCAGUAGUAAUUAAUACCAAAGGCAUAGACAAUUUAGGGCCAUAACCUCCCUUCCCCCCUCUCCACCUUUUUUUUUUUUUUUUUUUUUUUUUAACUUUAACCAUGAUAGGCAUCUCUGCAAGGUAGGUUUUAACAUAUUUUUUUCCUAAUUUUUUUCCCUCCAUUCAGUAAGAAGGAUAAGCUUUUAGAGUACCCAGUCACCGUGGUAACUGCCAAAAAAAUUCUCCUGAAGUUUGAAGAGGUCAGCUAGCAGGGUCAACAACCCUGGCCUCUCUCUGAGCUCGGUCUAGCAUGCCCCAGCCUGCGGUUGGAGUGUCAGGCCAGAUCUGACCCUGGGAGGUGGACCAUUCUGGCUCUGAUAUAAAUUUUUCGAGUCAGUUCAUGGCCUGGACUCUCCAGGUGGCCUCCAAAAUCGAUUUUGACCCCCUGACCCUGUCUCACGGAGGCAUAGCAUCCACCCUAAGUAAGGAUUUAGCCAGGAAUGACAGCUUUCCACUGAGUGUUAUUGGGGACAGUAUAAACAGUUUGGAAAGCAAGUAAGGAGGUGUGAGGGCUAGCAAUCAUUAAAAGCACAUUAAAAAACAAUUUUUAAAAAUCUUUAUUAGAGAAAGUUGUAAAUGCAUAUCUGUUACAGAAUUCCUGUGAUUUGUAGAGUUUUCUAGUCAGUUUUGAAUAUAAAUAGGUCACAUAUCUUUAUCUUUUUGCAUACUUUGUUACAAAUAUGCAAAUAAGAUAGGCAUACUUGCUACAAAAUAGGUACAGCAGGAAUGUAAUAUGUUCAGAAAAGGCAAACUGGUUAUUAAAACACAUUAACAGGUAAGGAGUUUCUAAUAUUUUAAAUACUAAAAUUUUACAUGUGUAUUUUGAAGUUUUUAAAAUGGAAAAAUAAAGAACCUUUAAAAAACCCAACAGUGUGGAAUAAAGAUAAACUUGUUGCACUCAAGGUACAUUUCUACUUUGUAAAGCAAGAAGCCAAUACACUCAGUUGGAUAAAAAUGAGAGAAAAAUUGUAAAUAUAGAGAGUUACAGCUUAUAGAGCUGAAGAGGAAUAAAACAAAAAAAAGUGUCUCUGAAUAACUUUAUGUAUUUUCAACAGUUUAAGAUAUCAGAAACUUGGAAAAUAAAUAUGAUAUAUAUAUAAAUCAUCAGUGAUUAUUUCCUUUUCAUUCCCCCCCGCCCCCAGGAUGCCACCGUGAGUGUUUGAUUUUCUCUAGGAAAGUAGAAUUCUCUUUGAGAGUUCUAGCCUGUGAACUCAGUAUGUAAAUGUGGCCAUCAAGAAGACAGAACUGCCAAGAGGAAAGAUUAUGAAUGUUUUUCUUCCUUAAAACCAUUCACAGUGUUUCUUCUUCCAGUGCUUUACUCAGACUUCUCCCCUUUUCCCAGCUCUGUUGAAAAUGGCUUCAAAAGCAACACUGCAGUGGCUAAACCAAUUGUACUGUGAAGUUGUUGAGAUGCCAUUUCAUCUGAAUCCUUCGUAAAAAUUAGAUUUUUAAGUAGGGGUGAAUAUCCUUUUGGGAGAGGGAAUGGGAGGGUAGAAGAAGGGGGGAAAGGACAGAGCA